GAUGAACGCUGGCGGCGUGCUUAACACAUGCAAGUCGAACGGAAAGGCCCAAGCUUGCUUGGGUACUCGAGUGGCGAACGGGUGAGUAACACGUGGGUGAUCUGCCCUGCACUUCGGGAUAAGCCUGGGAAACUGGGUCUAAUACCGGAUAGGACCACAUUUUGGAUGGUGUGGUGGAAAGUUUUUCGGUGUGGGAUGAGCUCGCGGCCUAUCAGCUUGUUGGUGGGGUAAUGUCCUACCAAGGCGUCGACGGGUAGCCGGCCUGAGAGGGUGUACGGCCACAUUGGGACUGAGAUACGGCCCAGACUCCUACGGGAGGCAGCAGUGGGGAAUAUUGCACAAUGGGCGCAAGCCUGAUGCAGCGACGCCGCGUGGGGGAUGACGGCCUUCGGGUUGUAAACUCCUUUCGCUAGGGACGAAGCGUUUUUGUGACGGUACCUGGAGAAGAAGCACCGGCUAACUACGUG
RNAcentral lists this ribosomal RNA (467 nucleotides) under uncultured bacterium. RNAcentral's name for it is "partial 16S ribosomal RNA". It matches the Rfam family "Bacterial small subunit ribosomal RNA", at positions 28 to 507 of the family's 1533-position model. The record is from RNAcentral.